This 1135-nucleotide long non-coding RNA is filed under the name Olea europaea subsp. europaea. The record is from RNAcentral. Lineage: Eukaryota; Viridiplantae; Streptophyta; Magnoliopsida; Lamiales; Oleaceae.
UGGAAGACUGUUUGUACAUUUGCACUUACUCAAGAACCAAAUCCAUAUUUUAGAAUUCGAACCGUUCACGCAGCAGCCUCAAGCAAAGCUGGAUUUCUCCACCCUCCCCUUUUACCACUUGGAGAUGUGCCAUGGGGGCUGGAUGGAGCCAGGUUAGCUUGAGCCGGUCGGAAGUGAGUGGCUUUUUCAUACUACUUUUUUCCUUCCCUUUCCCUUGAAAGAGCAUGGCCCAGGAGAAAUUUUUGUUUGGAUCAUCAAGCUGGGAUCGGAAGCGGGCAUUAUUGCAAUCCUAGGGUUUUGAUUGGUAUAUAAGGGAAUAUGGUAAAUGUUUCGACUUCCGAUUGCAUGCGUUUUAGUUCUCUUUACAUAUUUUUUUAUAGUUUUCUCCAUUUUUUAAUUUCCUUUUUCAUGUUCUUUCUUGAGGUUGAGCCGUUGGCUUCGUCUGUGCUGCAUCUAGGCCACCCGUCUGAUUUGUUUCUAUUAGAUGGUGCAGAAACAGCUGAUCGUGGCUGUUGAAGGCAUGGCCGCUAUGGGACCCUACUGGUUUACCAUUCUCUCUAAUUACCUUGACAAGAUGAAUUGGUGUUUCAUUUACCCACGCUGUGAUUUCAAAAUGUAUUUGUGUGAUAUGUUGAAAUGUUUAUUUUUUAAUGGGAGCGAAUUGUUAUGGGAUAUGGGCUUGUUUUCGUGUGGAAUGUAUUAGAAUUCUGAAAUGGGUUUUCGCGGUUCAGUAAAAUUGUUUAUUUUUUGGGAAAUAAAUAUACUCAUUUUCUCUUGGAAUUAGUGUGUAUGCAUCAAAGAGUAUAAAUUUAUUUUGUGUUCUUGAUCAAUGAAUAGACUGCCAGUUAUUGGUCAUUUUUCUUAUGUUUUCUCCUUUUGUUUUGGUGCUAUUUUUUUGUGAAUUUUCUUUAUUAGUUUAUAAACAUUGCUGUAGAAGUGUUUGAUAAAUUGUUCACGUGAGUACAUUUUAUUGAGAAUUUCUUCAACUAUUGAUGACGCGGGUGAAAGUCUUGGAAAGUGUGAUCAGUAAAAUCUAUAGUUCCGUGGCGUAACUUUUGCUUGAGAAGUUUUUGAUAAUUUUUUUAUCAUUUCUAGACUGCUGUAUUUUUUGUUGAGUAAUAUUUUUUUUGCUGAG